GCCAUCUCUCCAGCCCACAUAUUUAUUCUUGAGAAAGUUUCUUCCUUGACUAUAGAUCUCCAAAUAGGCUAGACUGGGUUGGCCAGCAAACCUGCCCCUCUCUGUCUCCCCAGUGUAAGAUUGCAGGUGCACACCUCCACACCCAGCUUUUUUACAUGGGUUCUAGUGAUCAAACGCAAGUCUUUGUUUUACAUGCACUUUACUGCCAGGGCCAUCUCUCCACCAUAGCAAAUAAUUUUCAAUGUGUAUAUGGAGCAGCAGGAAGGCAUACUGGGAAAAUAUGGACCUACUCUGUGAGCUUCACAGAGAGACUUAGCAAGCACCAUCGUCACACUGCACAUGCCCAGUGUCUCCUGUGAUGUCCACUCCUUCCUUCUCUAUAAAAUUCCCAUGUGAGACUUUAUACCCUCCUUCAGUCAUCUGCAAGCAACACUCUCCCCUUUAUGUUUCCUGUUUGUUUUUUGCACCACACCCUUCAUGUUUGAUCUUUCCAGAAACUUGAACCUGGUGGGCCAUCACCUUCCCUACAUGAAGAUCAGCACAGCUCCCUAUGAGACCUUCCUCUCUUGGGGGCUAUCUCCCUUCCUUCUCUAGAGAGGUUGCUAAAAUGCUCCAGCGGGGGUAUGGACCAUGAUGACACUACUUAUGUUGCCUCUGAAACCUCCCAAUGCCAAGCUGCAGAGCAAUCAGCUAUGGGAGUAAGCUCUAUUAGGAGGGGCGGGCCAGAAAUAAAAGGUGGAGUCAGCCACCAAGCAAACUCGCAGGUUUAGCUGUGCACCUCUCUAUGGAACUUCCUAUCUUGAGGUGGAGAGAUUAGCUAGUUCUACCCCCAAACCAAUCUGCAAUCAGAUGACAGUCGUCCUAGUUGAUGGAAGAACCCACAAGACUCAUCUGGAUCAACUGGACACUUCUGAUCAAGGACAAUUGUCAGAGGUGGCCGUUUUAGAUGGAAAUAAAACACUGUGGGGCAGAAGAAAUGAAUGGAGCCAAGUGGAACCUAGAGCUCCAACGGGGUGUCUACACUGGGACAGAGGACCCACCAAGCAUGGCCUCUUUCCUUUCACUUUCACUUGGACCCCUCUAGAAUCUGAAUUUCUGCCGCUCUCCUGUUGGCCCAAUAUACAGCUAUCAUCAAUUCCUGUGUAAAAGGGAACCACUCACUUCUUUGUGUUUCCACUUCAUGAAAAGCUGGACCAUCUAUGGCCACAAGCCUGGCCGUUGAGUUAGAAGAUGAAUUGAGAGGGCUGGAGAGAUGGCUCAGUGGUUAAGAGCACUGACUGCUCCUCCAGAGGUCCUGAGUUCAGUUCCCAGCAGCCACAUGAUGGCUCACAACCAUCUGUAAUCGGAUCUGAUGCCCUCUUCUGGGGUGUCUGAAGACAGCUACAGUGUACUUACGCAUAAUAAAUAAAUAAAUCUU
This 1417-nucleotide small RNA is filed under the name Rattus norvegicus (Norway rat). RNAcentral describes it as "uncharacterized LOC108351278". The record is from RNAcentral. Lineage: Eukaryota; Metazoa; Chordata; Mammalia; Rodentia; Muridae.